AGGACGAACGCUGGCGGCGUGCUUAACACAUGCAAGUCAAGGGGGCUCAGCAAUGGGCAACCGGCGAACGGGUGCGUAACACGUGAGCAACCUGCCGAUUUGAGGGGGAUAGCCGGCCCAACGGCCGGGUAAAUACCGCAUACGUUCUAUUGGCCACCUGGCCGACAGAAGAAACCUCCGGGGCAGAUCGAGGGGCUCGCGGCCUAUCAGCUAGUUGGUGUGGGUAACGGCCCACCAAGGCGACGACGGGUAGCUGGU
Molecule: ribosomal RNA, 258 nt
Filed under: uncultured bacterium
Lineage: Bacteria
Description: partial small subunit ribosomal RNA
Rfam family: Bacterial small subunit ribosomal RNA
Source: RNAcentral